UACGUAGGUGGCAAGCGUUGUCCGGAAUUAUUGGGCGUAAAGGGUGCGUAGGCGGUUUUUUAAGUGGGAUGUGAAAUACCUAGGCUUAACUUAGGAAUGGCAUUCCAAACUGGAAGACUAGAGUGCAGGAGAGGAAAGUGGAAUUCCCAGUGUAGCGGUGAAAUGCGUAGAGAUUGGGAGGAACACCAGUGGCGAAGGCGACUUUCUGGACUGUAACUGACGCUGAGGCACGAAAGCGUGGGGAGCAAAC
This 250-nucleotide ribosomal RNA is filed under the name uncultured bacterium. RNAcentral describes it as "partial 16S ribosomal RNA". It matches the Rfam family "Bacterial small subunit ribosomal RNA", at positions 524 to 773 of the family's 1533-position model. The record is from RNAcentral.